AGAGAUUAAACUGAAGAGUUUGAUCCUGGCUCAGAUUGAACGCUGGCGGUAUGCUUAACACAUGCAAGUCGAACGGCAGCAGAAGGUAGUUUACUACUGAGAUGGCGAGUGGCGGACGGGUGAGUAACGCGUAGGAAUAUGCCUUAUAGAGGGGGAUAACUUGGGGAAACUCAAGCUAAUACCGCAUAGACUUGCUUAGGUAAGGAAAGCUGGGGACUGUAAGAGGCCUGGCGCUAUAAGAUUAGCCUGCGUCCGAUUAGCUAGUUGGUGGGGUAAGGGCUUACCAAGGCGACGAUCGGUAGCUGGUCUGAGAGGAUGACCAGCCACACUGGAACUGAGACACGGUCCAGACUCCUACGGGAGGCAGCAGUGGGGAAUAUUGGACAAUGGGGGGAACCCUGAUCCAGCAAUACCGCGU
This 418-nucleotide ribosomal RNA is filed under the name Legionellaceae bacterium. Its description in RNAcentral is "bacterial SSU rRNA". It matches the Rfam family "Bacterial small subunit ribosomal RNA", at positions 1 to 402 of the family's 1533-position model. The record is from RNAcentral. Lineage: Bacteria; Pseudomonadati; Pseudomonadota; Gammaproteobacteria; Legionellales; Legionellaceae.